RNAcentral lists this ribosomal RNA (393 nucleotides) under uncultured bacterium. RNAcentral's name for it is "partial 16S ribosomal RNA". It matches the Rfam family "Bacterial small subunit ribosomal RNA", at positions 523 to 918 of the family's 1533-position model. The record is from RNAcentral.
AUACGGAAGGUCCGGGCGUUAUCCGGAUUUAUUGGGUUUAAAGGGAGCGCAGGCGGAGAUGCAAGCGUGACGUCAAAUUUCGGGGCUCAACCCCGUCUCGCGUCGCGAACUGCGUCCCUUGGUUGCGGGAAGGGGAGGCGGAACUCGUGGUGGAGCGGUGAAAUGCAUAGAUAUCACGAAGAACUCCGAUCGCGAAGGCAGCCUUCCGGCCCGUCAACGACGCUCAUGCUCGAAGGUGCGGGUAUCAAACAGGAUUAGAUACCCUGGUAGUCCGCACAGUAAACGAUGGACACCCGCGGUUUGGCCUGUAUGGCUGAGCCGCCAAGCGAAGGCGUUAAGUGUCCCACCUGGGGAGUACGCCGGCAACGGUGAAACUCAAAGGAAUUGACGGGG